This 460-nucleotide ribosomal RNA is filed under the name uncultured bacterium. RNAcentral's name for it is "partial 16S ribosomal RNA". It matches the Rfam family "Bacterial small subunit ribosomal RNA", at positions 338 to 795 of the family's 1533-position model. The record is from RNAcentral.
CCUACGUGGUGCAGCAGUGAGGAAUAUUGGUCAAUGGACGCGAGUCUGAACCAGCAAUGCCGCGUGCAGGAAGACGGCACUAUGAAUUGUCAACUGCUUUUGUCCGAGGGUAAACGAGGAUACGCGUAUCUGUAUGAAAGUAACCUACGAAUAAGGAUCGGCUAACUCCGUGCCAGCAGCCGCGGUCAUACGGAGGAUUCAAGCGUUAUCCGGAUUUAUUGGGGUUAAAGUGUGCGUAUGCGGUCGGGUAAGGUAGAGGUGAAAUCCCGAGGCUGAACGUCGGAAUUGCCUCUGAUACUGUUCGGCUAGAGAGUACUUGCGGUAGGCGGAAUGUAUGGUGGAGCGGUGAAAUGCUUAGAUAUCAUACAGAACACCGAUUGCGAAGGCAGCUUACCAAGCUACUUCUGACGUUGAGGCACGAAAGCGUGGGGAGCAAACAGGAUUAGAUACCCUGGUAGUC